AAGCGGUACGCGAGCUGGGUUUAGAACGUCGUGAGACAGUUCGGUCCCUAUCCGCUGUGCGCGUAGGAGUCUUGAGAAGGGCUGUCCCUAGUACGAGAGGACCGGGACGGACGAACCUCUGGUGUGCCAGUUGUUCUGCCAAGGGCAUGGCUGGUUGGCUACGUUCGGGAGGGAUAACCGCUGAAAGCAUCUAAGCGGGAAGCCUGCUUCGAGAUGAGGACUCCCACCCACUUGAUGGGGUAAGGCUCCCAGUAGACGACUGGGUUGAUAGGCCGGAUAUGGAAGCACGGUAACGUGUGGAGUUGACCGGUACUAAUAGGCCGAGGGCUUGUCCUC
Molecule: ribosomal RNA, 336 nt
Filed under: Streptomyces sp. di188
Lineage: Bacteria; Bacillati; Actinomycetota; Actinomycetes; Kitasatosporales; Streptomycetaceae
Description: bacterial LSU rRNA
Rfam family: Bacterial large subunit ribosomal RNA
Source: RNAcentral